Molecule: ribosomal RNA, 253 nt
Filed under: uncultured bacterium
Lineage: Bacteria
Description: partial 16S ribosomal RNA
Rfam family: Bacterial small subunit ribosomal RNA
Source: RNAcentral
UACGUAGGGCGCAAGCGUUAUCCGGAAUUAUUGGGCGUAAAGAGCUCGUAGGCGGUUUGUCGCGUCUGCCGUGAAAGUCCGGGGCUCAACUCCGGAUCUGCGGUGGGUACGGGCAGACUAGAGUGAUGUAGGGGAGACUGGAAUUCCUGGUGUAGCGGUGAAAUGCGCAGAUAUCAGGAGGAACACCGAUGGCGAAGGCAGGUCUCUGGGUCGGUACUGACGCUGAGGCGCGAAAGCGUGGGGAGCAAACAGG